This 833-nucleotide ribosomal RNA is filed under the name uncultured cyanobacterium. Its description in RNAcentral is "bacterial SSU rRNA". It matches the Rfam family "Bacterial small subunit ribosomal RNA", at positions 56 to 943 of the family's 1533-position model. The record is from RNAcentral. Lineage: Bacteria; Bacillati; Cyanobacteriota.
UGCAGUCGACGGUGUCUUCGGACACAGUGGCGGACGGGUGAGUAACGCGUGAGAAUCUGCCAUCAGGUCUGGGACAACCACUGGAAACGGUGGCUAAUACCGGAUGUGCCGAGAGGUGAAAGGUUAACUGCCUGUUGAUGAGCUCGCGUCUGAUUAGCUAGUUGGCAGUGUAAUGGACUACCAAGGCGACGAUCAGUAGCUGGUCUGAGAGGAUGAUCAGCCACACUGGGACUGAGACACGGCCCAGACUCCUACGGGAGGCAGCAGUGGGGAAUUUUCCGCAAUGGGCGAAAGCCUGACGGAGCAAUACCGCGUGAGGGAGGAAGGCUCUUGGGUCGUAAACCUCUUUUCUCAGGGAAGAACAAAAUGACGGUACCUGAGGAAUAAGCAUCGGCUAACUCCGUGCCAGCAGCCGCGGUAAUACGGAGGAUGCAAGCGUUAUCCGGAAUGAUUGGGCGUAAAGCGUCCGCAGGUGGCUAUGUAAGUCUGCUGUUAAAGCGUCUAGCUCAACUAGAUAAGAGCAGUGGAAACUACAAGGCUAGAGUGCGUUCGGGGCAGAGGGAAUUCCUGGUGUAGCGGUGAAAUGCGUAGAGAUCAGGAAGAACACCGGUGGCGAAAGGCGCUCUGCUAGGCCGCAACUGACACUGAGGGACGAAAGCUAGGGGAGCGAAUGGGAUUAGAUACCCCAGUAGUCCUAGCCGUAAACGAUGGAUACUAGGCGUGGCUUGUAUCGACCCGAGCCGUGCCGUAGCUAACGCGUUAGUAUCCCGCUAGAGUACGCACGCAGUGGUGAAACUCAAGGAAUGACGGGGCCGCACAGCCGUGAGUAUGUG